UCACAUGGGCAUUUUCGUCAUUUUUCUUCAAAAAUACCGAAACUCGCCAAAAACAUGGUGUAAAAGCUAAAUAUAUUCAUACAUACUUUAAAUCAAAUAACUGAAGAAUAAAAUUACUUUUACAGUGACACGUGGGCCCCCAACUGACUAAAAAGAUGUAAGGCUACGAACUCUUACUUUCUAGGAUGCAACUCCGAGAUUAAUUCUCAUCUUAAUCAACUAUCAACAAACUGUCCUGAGCCUGAAAAAUGGAUAGGAAGAGGGGUGAGAUUAUGAUUACAUAAUCUCAGUGAGUAAACAAUUACCAUCAAAAGCAUCUAAAGCCAAGUAAAUGGAGACAAUAUAAAAACGUUAUAUCUCAAUAAUGUUCAUAACACAAAUUUCGUUUCAAUCUAUACCAAACAAUUUAUUUUCAUCAAAAUUUCUCGGCUUAUGAAUUUCUUAAACUUGGCCCCUGCUAGAUUCAUUCUCGCGGGUACCUUUGUCAAGGUAUCCCACUGAGACCGUCAAGGCUGUUCAAUGACCCAUACCCAUAAACAUGUUUUCACAUCUGACACACAGCCGUUCCUUGGCGUUGGCUAAGUCUCACUCUCACGUGGUGGCCCGAACGUGAGGUGCACUCAAAUCAUACCUCAGGAGAUACUUCACCCAACAUCUCCCCCCGGAGGUAAGUAUCUAAUUGAGUUACCGUGCCCCUCUCAUAGGCAGUCCAAGGAAACCCCCACCACUGCAGUGACCGUUUAAUAUACCACAGACCCAUAAAAAUUUCAGUAGCAUAAUAUGGCGAAUAAAAUGUUAUCCAGUCUACCGAGACCAAUCCAAAACUAUUCAUAUAUUUCAUGCCAACCCUAAAAAUUUAGCCAUCAUGCUACCAUAGUGUCAUAAGCCCCAAUUUCAAUAACAUAUAAAAUCAUAAAUUUCAACACAGUCUCCAUAUACUCAAUUUUCCCAAAACAAUAUUUGAUUUCAAAACCAGUAUAAAUCUCAUUUUUAUUAAAAAAACAUUUUAAUUAGAAAACAUAAUAUUUAAUAAUUUAAGCUCACCAUUCAAUAAAAACAUCAAACAAGUAUAAUUACUCUAGAUAUUUAAGAUGAUAAAUUGUCCACUCACAGUUCUAGGAGUCGAUAUACUCUUAACU
Molecule: long non-coding RNA, 1139 nt
Filed under: Theobroma cacao (cacao)
Lineage: Eukaryota; Viridiplantae; Streptophyta; Magnoliopsida; Malvales; Malvaceae
Description: long non-coding RNA (TCAC_LNC006364)
Source: RNAcentral